RNAcentral lists this ribosomal RNA (468 nucleotides) under uncultured bacterium. Its description in RNAcentral is "partial 16S ribosomal RNA". It matches the Rfam family "Bacterial small subunit ribosomal RNA", at positions 28 to 507 of the family's 1533-position model. The record is from RNAcentral.
GACGAACGCUGGCGGCGUGCUUAACACAUGCAAGUCGAACGGAAAGGCCCUGCUUUUGUGGGGUGCUCGAGUGGCGAACGGGUGAGUAACACGUGAGUAACCUGCCCUUGACUUUGGGAUAACUUCAGGAAACUGGGGCUAAUACCGGAUAGGAGCUCCUGCUGCAUGGUGGGGGUUGGAAAGUUUCGGCGGUUGGGGAUGGACUCGCGGCUUAUCAGCUUGUUGGUGUGGUAGUGGCUUACCAAGGCUUUGACGGGUAGCCGGCCUGAGAGGGUGACCGGCCACAUUGGGACUGAGAUACGGCCCAGACUCCUACGGGAGGCAGCAGUGGGGAAUAUUGCACAAUGGGCGGAAGCCUGAGGCAGCAACGCCGCGUGCGGGAUGACGGCCUUCGGGUUGUAAACCGCUUUCGCCGGUGACGAAGAGUGAGUGACGGUAAUGGGUAAAGAAGCAACGGCUAACUACGUG